AGAGUUUGAUCCUGGCUCAGGAUGAACGCUAGCUACAGGCUUAACACAUGCAAGUCGAGGGGCAGCACGAAGAUAGCUUGCUAUUUUUGGUGGCGACCGGCGCACGGGUGAGUAACGCGUAUCCAACCUGCCCUAUGAUAGGGAAUAGCCCGGCGAAAGUCAGAUUAAUGCCCUAUGAGUUCCCACGAAGACAUCCGAAUGGGAAGAAAGGCUUGCCGUCAUGGGAUGGGGAUGCGUCCGAUUAGGUUGUUGGCGGGGUAACGGCCCACCAAGCCUGCGAUCGGUAGGGGUUCUGAGAGGAAGGUCCCCCACAUUGGAACUGAGACACGGUCCAAACUCCUACGGGAGGCAGCAGUGAGGAAUAUUGGUCAAUGGGCGAGAGCCUGAACCAGCCAAGUAGCGUGCAGGAUGACGGCCCUAUGGGUUGUAAACUGCUUUUGUGCGGGAAUAAAGUCGCCCACGUGUGGGUGUUUGUAUGUACCGCAAGAAUAAGGACCGGCUAAUUCCGUGCCAGCAGCCGCGGUAAUACGGAAGGUCCGGGCGUUAUCCGGAUUUAUUGGGUUUAAAGGGAGCGCAGGCGGGCUGUUAAGCGUGACGUGAAAUGCUGGGGCUUAACCUUAUGUAGUGCGUCGCGAACUGGCAGUCUUGAGUGGGUACGACGUUUGCGGAAUUCGUGGUGUAGCGGUGAAAUGCUUAGAUAUCACGAAGAACUCCGAUUGCGCAGGCAGCAAGCGAGUCCCUUACUGACGCUAAAGCUCGAAGGUGCGGGUAUCGAACAGGAUUAGAUACCCUGGUAGUCCGCACGGUAAACGAUGGAUGCCCGGCUGUUGGCGAUAUAAUGUCAGCGGCCCAAGCGAAAGCGUUAAGCAUCCCACCUGGGGGAGUGCCCCGGCAACGGUGAAAACUCAAAAGGAAUAGACGGGGGCCCCGCACAAGCGGAGGAACAUGUUGGUUUUAAUUCGAUGAUACGCGAGGACCCUUCCCCGGGCUUUGAAUGGCAGAGGAAAGGAAUUAGAGAUAAUGACGCCCUUCGGGGUCUCUGUGAAGGUGCUGCAUGGUUGUCGUCAGCUCGUGUCGUGAGAUGUUGGCUUAAGUGCCAUAACGAGCGCAACCCUUGUCGAUAGUUGCCAUCAGGUUAAGCUGGGCACUCUUGUCGACACUGCCGCCGUAAGGUGUGAGGAAGGUGGGGAUGACGUCAAAUCAGCACGGCCCUUACGUCCGGGGCUACACACGUGUUACAAUGGGAGUUACAGAGCGUCAGGCGCCGGCAACGUUGUCUUAAUCGCUAAAGUCUCCCUCAGUUCGGAUUGGGGUCUGCAACCCGACCCCAUGAAGCUGGAUUCGCUAGUAAUCGCGCAUCAGCCAUGGCGCGGUGAAUACGUUCCCGGGCCUUGCACACACCGCCCGUCA
This 1410-nucleotide ribosomal RNA is filed under the name uncultured bacterium. RNAcentral's name for it is "16S ribosomal RNA". It matches the Rfam family "Bacterial small subunit ribosomal RNA". The record is from RNAcentral.